This 247-nucleotide ribosomal RNA is filed under the name Escherichia coli. RNAcentral's name for it is "partial 16S ribosomal RNA". It matches the Rfam family "Bacterial small subunit ribosomal RNA", at positions 1299 to 1533 of the family's 1533-position model. The record is from RNAcentral. Lineage: Bacteria; Pseudomonadati; Pseudomonadota; Gammaproteobacteria; Enterobacterales; Enterobacteriaceae. RNAcentral also lists the same sequence under 2 other names.
UGGAGUCUGCAACUCGACUCCAUGAAGUCGGAAUCGCUAGUAAUCGUGGAUCAGAAUGCCACGGUGAAUACGUUCCCGGGCCUUGUACACACCGCCCGUCACACCAUGGGAGUGGGUUGCAAAAGAAGUAGGUAGCUUAACCUUCGGGAGGGCGCUUACCACUUUGUGAUUCAUGACUGGGGUGAAGUCGUAACAAGGUAACCGUAGGGGAACCUGCGGUUGGAUCACCUCCUUACCUUAAAGAAGC